GAGAAGAUAUAAAAUUACCUUGCUAAGGUAGAAAAGGCUAUUUUAGUCACUUCUUU
RNAcentral lists this transfer RNA (56 nucleotides) under Panagrellus redivivus. RNAcentral's name for it is "tRNA-Ser". Lineage: Eukaryota; Metazoa; Nematoda; Chromadorea; Rhabditida; Panagrolaimidae. The record is from RNAcentral.